Molecule: transfer RNA, 71 nt
Rfam family: tRNA
About the family: Transfer RNA (tRNA) molecules are approximately 80 nucleotides in length.
Source: Rfam
UGAAUUAUAGCUCAAUGGUAGAGCAGUCCACUCAUAAUGGAUGUAUCUCAGUUCAAUUCUGAGUAAUUCAA